CCUACGGGAGGCAGCAGUGGCGAAUAUUGGACAAUGGGGGCAACCCUGAUCCAGCCAUGCCGCGUGUGUGAAGAAGGCCCUCGGGUUGUAAAGCACUUUCAGUGAGGAAGAACGCCUGGUGGUUAAUACCCAUCAGGAAAGACAUCACUCACAGAAGAAGCACCGGCUAACUCCGUGCCAGCAGCCGCGGUAAUACGGAGGGUGCGAGCGUUAAUCGGAAUUACUGGGCGUAAAGCGCGCGUAGGUGGCUUGAUAAGCCGGUUGUGAAAGCCCCGGGCUCAACCUGGGAACGGCAUCCGGAACUGUCAAGCUAGAGUGCAGGAGAGGAAGGUAGAAUUCCCGGUGUAGCGGUGAAAUGCGUAGAGAUCGGGAGGAAUACCAGUGGCGAAGGCGGCCUUCUGGACUGACACUGACACUGAGGUGCGAAAGCGUGGGUAGCAAACAGGAUUAGAUACCCUAGUAGUC
Molecule: ribosomal RNA, 465 nt
Filed under: Vreelandella stevensii
Lineage: Bacteria; Pseudomonadati; Pseudomonadota; Gammaproteobacteria; Oceanospirillales; Halomonadaceae
Description: partial 16S ribosomal RNA
Rfam family: Bacterial small subunit ribosomal RNA
Source: RNAcentral